This 620-nucleotide long non-coding RNA is filed under the name Olea europaea subsp. europaea. Lineage: Eukaryota; Viridiplantae; Streptophyta; Magnoliopsida; Lamiales; Oleaceae. The record is from RNAcentral.
UCUUCUUCAAAUAAUUUUCCAGUGACUAUCCCCUGGACCAUUUUGUGUGUGUGUAUAUAUAUUCCAAUUUAAAAUUUUAAAAAAUGAUUUCCCAUCAAAUUCACAUAAAAUCUUUAGCGAAAGAUAGUCAACUAGCUAUGCAACUUAUCAAUCAUUCAAAAUUUGGGAGAUUCCAACGUCAAUUCAUAAAACCUAUAUAAAUAAAAUCGGCCAUCAUUAAAAUUGUAGUAUAUAAUCUAUACAAAUCAAAUAUUAUACGAAUUCAAAUUCAUAAAUCUAUUCAAUUAAAAAAUGUUUAUUCCAGAAACGACGAUUAAGCAGCCGUAAACAAAUUAAAAUUAGAUCUAACCUCGUUUACGCUCGCAUCUCCCGCCAGUAGGCUGCAGCGCGGCGUCAUCUGCUGAAGCAUAACAGGUGGUGGAGCCACCAUCCUCCGCCGUCGCGUUCAAGUUCUCAUUGCUUUUAUUGAUGUUAUGAUAGCUAUUACUAACAAUUGGUGGCGGUACCUGCUCACAUAGUGAAUUUGAGUUUUUAAGGAUAAAGGAUUCAAUAGAAUGAUGGAGCAGAUAGUGGAGUGGGUUUAUAUCGUGAUGAAAAUGCUUUGUGAAAUGUGAGGGCCG